Molecule: transfer RNA, 71 nt
Filed under: Retropinna retropinna (cucumberfish)
Lineage: Eukaryota; Metazoa; Chordata; Actinopteri; Osmeriformes; Retropinnidae
Description: tRNA-Thr
Rfam family: tRNA
About the family: Transfer RNA (tRNA) molecules are approximately 80 nucleotides in length.
Source: RNAcentral
CACUAGUGGCUCAAUCCAGAGCGCCGAUCUUGUAAGUCGGAGGCUGGAGGUUUGACCCCUCCCUCGUGCUC